This 382-nucleotide ribosomal RNA is filed under the name uncultured bacterium. RNAcentral's name for it is "bacterial SSU rRNA". It matches the Rfam family "Bacterial small subunit ribosomal RNA", at positions 30 to 414 of the family's 1533-position model. The record is from RNAcentral.
AUUGAACGCUGGCGGCAUGCUUUACACAUGCAAGUCGAACGGACUUAGGGGCUUGCUCCUAGGUUAGUGGCGAACGGGUGAGUAAUGUAUCGGAACGUACCGUGUAGUGGGGGAUAACGCAGCGAAAGUUGUGCUAAUACCGCAUACGAUCUACGGAUGAAAGCAGGGGAUCGCAAGACCUUGUGCUAUACGAGCGGCCGAUGUCGGAUUAGCUAGUUGGUGAGGUAAAGGCUCACCAAGGCGACGAUCCGUAGCGGGUCUGAGAGGAUGAUCCGCCACACUGGGACUGAGACACGGCCCAGACUCCUACGGGAGGCAGCAGUGGGGAAUUUUGGACAAUGGGCGCAAGCCUGAUCCAGCCAUGCCGCGUGAGUGAAGAAGG